This 475-nucleotide ribosomal RNA is filed under the name uncultured bacterium. RNAcentral describes it as "bacterial SSU rRNA". It matches the Rfam family "Bacterial small subunit ribosomal RNA", at positions 28 to 517 of the family's 1533-position model. The record is from RNAcentral.
GACGAACGCUGGCGGCACGCCUAACACAUGCAAGUCGAGCGGAGAUUGAGAGCUUGCUCUCAUGAUCAGCGGCGGACGGGUGAGUAACACGUGAGCAACCUGCCUUUCAGAGGGGGACAACAGUUGGAAACGACUGCUAAUACCGCAUAACAUUGCCGAACGGCAUCGUUUGGCAAUCAAAGGAGCAAUCCGCUGAAAGAUGGGCUCGCGUCUGAUUAGAUAGUUGGUGAGGUAACGGCUCACCAAGUCGACGAUCAGUAGCCGGACUGAGAGGUUGAUCGGCCACAUUGGGACUGAGACACGGCCCAGACUCCUACGGGAGGCAGCAGUGGGGGAUAUUGGACAAUGGGGGAAACCCUGAUCCAGCGAUGCCGCGUGAGGGAAGAAGGUUUUCGGAUUGUAAACCUCUGUGGACAGGGACGAUAAUGACGGUACCUGUUUAGAAAGUCCACGGCUAACUACGUGCCAGCAGCCG